This 253-nucleotide ribosomal RNA is filed under the name uncultured bacterium. RNAcentral's name for it is "partial 16S ribosomal RNA". It matches the Rfam family "Bacterial small subunit ribosomal RNA", at positions 524 to 776 of the family's 1533-position model. The record is from RNAcentral.
UACGAAGGGUGCAAGCGUUAAUCGGAAUUACUGGGCGGAAAGCGCGCGUAGGUGGUUCAGUAAGUUGGAAGUGAAAUCCCCGGGCUCAACCUGGGAACUGCUUUCAAAACUGCUGAGCUAGAGUACGGUAGAGGGUGGUGGAAUUUCCUGUGUAGCGGUGAAAUGCGUAGAUAUAGGAAGGAACACCAGUGGCGAAGGCGACCACCUGGACUGAUACUGACACUGAGGUGCGAAAGCGUGGGGAGCAAACAGG